RNAcentral lists this unclassified non-coding RNA (696 nucleotides) under Hevea brasiliensis (rubber tree). Lineage: Eukaryota; Viridiplantae; Streptophyta; Magnoliopsida; Malpighiales; Euphorbiaceae. The record is from RNAcentral.
GCCCAAAACCCUUCUCGCAUGUCUUAUCUUCUCCGAGCUCUGCUUCUGUAUAACCACAAGCACAAAAGUAUUUAGGGUUUUAUCCCAAUUCUGUACGUUGUAGUUGGGAUUUUGAAUUGGUUUAUUCACUUACUUUAAUUCCCGCUUAUAGCUGUCGGUCUUUUCAGUCUAAUUUCAUCAAAAACCAUAGAAAAUGGCUUCCUCCACUGCUCAGAUUCACGUUCUAGGCGGUAUUGGGUUUUCUUCGUCUUCCUCCAGAAAACCCAGUUUUUCAUUUUCGCCAAAGACUGUUUUCUUUGGUCAAAAUCUGAGGUCGCCAACGGCGGCUUUUCUGAGACACAGUAACACCACGAGGAGAAGGAAUAGCACUGGACCUUUGAGGGUAGUGAAUGAGAAGGUUGUGGGAAUCGACCUGGGUACUACCAAUUCUGCAGUUGCUGCUAUGGAGGGAGGUAAGCCGACGAUUGUGACAAACGCGGAGGGUCAGAGGACCACACCUUCAGUUGUGGCAUAUACAAAGAACGGGGAUAGGCUUGUGGGACAGAUUGCAAAGCGGCAGGCAGUGGUGAAUCCAGAGAAUACCUUUUUCUCUGUGAAGAGAUUUAUAGGGAGGAAGAUGUCUGAGGUGGAUGAGGAGUCCAAGCAAGUUUCUUAUAGAGUGGUAAGAGAUGAGAAUGGAAAUGUUAAGUUGGAUUG